Molecule: ribosomal RNA, 720 nt
Filed under: Trillium tschonoskii
Lineage: Eukaryota; Viridiplantae; Streptophyta; Magnoliopsida; Liliales; Melanthiaceae
Description: eukaryotic LSU rRNA
Rfam family: 5.8S ribosomal RNA (bases 303-458)
Source: RNAcentral
UGGAAGUAAAAGUCGUAACAAGGUUUCCGUAGGUGAACCUGCGGAAGGAUCAUUGUCGAGAUACGAAAUGUGGCCGGAAGACUGUGAACUCGUGAACGAAUGAUGAUUUUGGUGGAGGGUCCGUCCCGAAGCCAAUGCCCCUGCCUCUUGAGUCGAAAGCGAGCCAUAGGCAUGGCACGGCGCAUGUGUGGGUGGGGGCGCUAACAAAACCCGACGCAGCACGCGUCAAGGAACUUGUACGCGAAUGAGGCCCACCUUCAUUGGUUGAUGUAGUGGUCCUAUGUUUCGUAGAGUAAUUUUAUGACUCUCGGCAACGGAUAUCUUGGCUCCCGUAUCGAUGAAGAACGUAGCGAAAUGCGAUACUUGAUGUGAAUUGCAGAAUCCCGUGAAUCAUCGAGUUUUUGAACGCAAGUUGCGCCCGAUGCCAUUCGGCAGAGGGCACGCCUGCCUGGGCGUCACGUCUUGCGUCGCUCGGUGCCAACUACGCCCGCGGGUCGAAAGUGUUGGCACGGAUGCGGAGAUUGGCCUCCUGUGCCCUUGUGCGCGCGGUGGGUUGAAGAGUGGGAUGCCAACGGAGACGGACACGACGAGUGGUGGAUGCGAGCCGGACGUCGUGGUCUCGUCCUCUAAAGGCUCGGGGGCCCCUUGUGACACCCAGUAGGGUUGCGCUGCAAGCGUUGCCUAGCAUUGCGACCCCAGGUCAGGCGGGAACACCCGCUA